This 484-nucleotide ribosomal RNA is filed under the name uncultured bacterium. RNAcentral describes it as "partial 16S ribosomal RNA". It matches the Rfam family "Bacterial small subunit ribosomal RNA", at positions 29 to 507 of the family's 1533-position model. The record is from RNAcentral.
AUUGAACGCUGGCGGCAUGCUUUCCACAUGCAAGUCGACCGGCCGCGCGGGCUUCGCACUGUCGCCGAGUGGCGAACGGGUGAGUAAUGCAUCGGAACGUGCGCCGUAGUGGGGGCAAGCCCGACGAAAGACAGACUAAUCUCCCAAACCACCCUUCGGAGAAUGCGGUGGACCGAAAGCAAUCGCGCCAUUCGAGCGGCCGCUGUCGGUAUAGCUAAUUGGUGGGGUAAAGGCUUACAAAGGCGACGACCCGUAGCUGGUGUGAGAGGACGACCAGCCAGACUGGGACUGAGACACGGCCCAGACUCCUACGGAAGGCAGCAGUGGGGAAUUUUGCACAAUGGGGGCAAUCCUGAUCCAGCCAUGCCGCGUGCGGGAAGAAGACCUUCGGGUUGUAAACCGCUUUUGUUCGGGAAGAAAUCCUCUGAGCUAAUACCCAGGGGGGAUGACGGUACCGGAAGAAUAAGCACCGGCUAACUACGAG